UACUAUGGUAAUGUCAUUAUGUGGUGCCUUCAAUAUAUACUAUGGUAAUGUCAUUAUGUGGUGCCUUCAAUAUAUACAAUGGUAAUGUCUGUCACAUUUAAAGUCCAAACUGCUUUCCGUUCGUCCAUUACCAAAUCUGUGUUCAGGUAAAUAGAUAAAUUUUAUCCCCAACUUUCACCCAUACGUUUAAAUCAGGUUUGAAAUUGCCGACUAAGCAAGGUCUAUUUUUAAAUCCUAGUAUUCGAACUGGUUUGCGGUGUUUGCUUUGGUCAGUUUGGACGUAGCAGGCACGAGUAACGGACGUCAAAAGUAAAUCAAAAUUCUUAACAUUGUAAGGUAUUCAGUUUGUCAUAUUGCUUCAGACAGGUUCCACUAUAGCACUUCUGAGAUCCUUUAAAUUAGCCACAAAUUAAAAGAAACCAAGGAAAAGUAGGAAGUAAGAGUGGGAGCCAGAGGAAACGUAUUAGAAUUCCAAACGGAGCCACCAUUCCAACUGGACCCAAAGUGUAGUUAUUGAAACAACCGCAGUGCCAUUACAGUGACAAUCACAAGACUGAGUUUUUAAUUAUAUUUCAUUUAUUUUUGUAAUAAUUAGUAACAAAAUUGAUGUAAAAUAAAGAUGUAAAGUGUA
This is a long non-coding RNA of Ostrea edulis (European flat oyster), 631 nucleotides long. RefSeq lists it as uncharacterized. The transcript has 2 exons. NCBI's taxonomy places the organism in Eukaryota, Metazoa, Mollusca, Bivalvia, Ostreida, Ostreidae. The record is from RefSeq and is a predicted model, not a curated record.